UGUGGUACGUAAAAAUCGGAGUUCGUAUGCGAAAGUUAUAAGCGAAAAGGUAAAAUUACUGUUCAUGGUAACUUUCUAUAAAUAGGACGAGUUACUGUGGUAACUCGUCAUUUUCUCUCUCCCCGAUUUUCUCUCCCUCUUCCCCCGCGUCGCCCUCUCUCCUUCUUCUUCCGAUUUCUUCACCGUCCGGCGUCCGAUUGACGUGAUUCCAGUUGUCCUUGGACCGUCUCUUCCUCCUAUACACGAUGGUACCAGUGGGUAUCGGCGAUUUGGCCGGCAAACCCCGAAUUUAUGCAAGCAUUGUUACUGUAGCAGUUUGCUUCUCCGGCGAAAUUCUCCAGUUUCCGGCUAUCUUCGGCGGUGAAAUUGGCUCUAUUAGGAGCGCCUCGGGUCACUGAUCAUCUUCCCUCAAGACUUCUAGUUGGAAUUUCCACGUUUGGAAGGUGAAGUUGAAGGAUUUCCAAAUUUGUGGGUUUGGAGAUUUCCGGGUUUGUGUUCAUCGGCAAAAUUGGAGCAUUUCAAUGUAUUUUCUCACUUGGUCACAGUUAUGAAAAGUGCUUAGAAUGUUGAGAUGAUUCUGUGGUUGAAAUUUGGUGGCCGGAGGAAGAGUUGGCCGCCGCAUGAACAGUGUAGCUGCAUGAAUAGUGCGACGGUGAAUAGUGCGGUGUAUGAACAGUGAUUUAUAUUCUGUUUUUUUUUUAGCUAGUUAAAUCCUAUAAAUAUUGUAGAGCUUGUAUAUGAAAUUUGGUGAAUUUUGGAGAAGCUUGGAAUUAAUUAUGAAUUUUUGAAGUUUAGGGUUUCGAUUAUCGAAUUACGAGAAUCCGGCCGUCGGAUAUCUCUCGGUUCUGCCUUGGAACCUUUAAAUUAACGAAAUGGUAUUAGUGGUAAAAUUUGGGUUGAAUCAGAGAAGAAGUGGCGAGAUGAUUUAUGAGGAUUUGAUUUUGAGAAUCGUAUUUAAUUGUUGAAUAGUUAUUCACGAAUUAUAAUUGUGUACAGGGCGAUAUACCGAACUAUUGCUCGAUGAAGGAACUCGUAUGCGUGAUCGCCUAAAUAGUACUUUUGCAGGCCAGUUUAGCUUGAGGUCGAGCGUACUUGGGGUUGAGGCAUAGCUGUCAUAGCUUCCGCAUUAUAAAAGUAUCGGUCAUUUAUCUUGCUUUCUAUUCUCUUGUUCGCCUGUACAUUAGAUUGCUCUGAUAACCUAUGAGAUUAAUAUUCUUAAAUUCAGAAUUGUUUAUGAAAUGAGAGAUGUGAGAUGUUGUGAUAUAGGGAGCAGGGUGGCUCCAGGAGAAUAAGGAUGGAUGAUUUAGAA
Long non-coding RNA from Rosa rugosa (rugosa rose), 1309 nucleotides. RefSeq lists it as uncharacterized. Lineage: Eukaryota; Viridiplantae; Streptophyta; Magnoliopsida; Rosales; Rosaceae. The transcript has 2 exons. The record is from RefSeq and is a predicted model, not a curated record.